This 735-nucleotide ribosomal RNA is filed under the name Triticum aestivum (bread wheat). RNAcentral describes it as "partial small subunit ribosomal RNA". Lineage: Eukaryota; Viridiplantae; Streptophyta; Magnoliopsida; Poales; Poaceae. The record is from RNAcentral.
AUGGGGGAGCGGCGCAGUGACGACCGACGCCAGGAGCCCACGGUGGCCAGGGCGGACGGCCCCCCGAUUCCCGCCGACGAGUCCGACGACGAGUUCGAGUUCUCCUUCGGGAGCCGGGAGCCUGCCACGGGCGGCGCCGCGGCCGACGAGCUCUUCGCCGACGGCCGCAUCAGGCCGUUCUACCCGGUGUUCGGCCGGGUCUUCGACGACGCGCACGUGCCGUCGGCGCCCGGCCGGAGGCCGCUGGGCCGGCUGUUCCUCGAGGAGGCGCGGAACUCGUCCGUCGGGUCCACGUCCUCGUCCUCCUCCUCCGCCGCCACGGACGCCGGGGACCUCGACGGCGCGUCCCCGGACAGCUACUGCGUCUGGACGCCCGGCGCCUCGGCCGCGUCCUCGCCGGCGCGGUCGCCGCGGAAGAGCGGAUCCACGGGGUCCUUGUCGCGGUGGCGCCGCGUCAGCGACCUCGUCGUCGGCCGCAGCCACAGCGACGGCAGGGACAAGUUCCGAUUCCUUUCCGCGCCGCCCUCGCCCGCCAGGGAGCAGCCCAAGGGGAAGCCACGAGGCCGGGACAGCAAAGCCGCCACCGAGCUCGACACGGUGGCCGCCAGCCACCGGCAGUUCUACGGCACUAAGGCCUCCCCCGGCGCGGCGCGGCGGACGUUCUUGCCGUACCGGCAGGAUCUCGUCGGCCUCUUCUCCGCGCCCAAGGGGCUCAGCCGGAGCCAAUACUUCUGA